This 237-nucleotide unclassified non-coding RNA is filed under the name Hevea brasiliensis (rubber tree). Lineage: Eukaryota; Viridiplantae; Streptophyta; Magnoliopsida; Malpighiales; Euphorbiaceae. The record is from RNAcentral.
AGAGCGAUGCUUUUGACUUGGGAUUUCCUAAGGGAUGUGACUGGUAUUUCAUGAUUUGUGGGCCACUCACCCACAUAAACUGGCAAAAACUUUCCCCUUGGUGUUGAUGGAAGUGUUUAUCUCAUUGUGCAAGUGGAGCUCUUGUUGCUUACAUCACUUGAGGCUUUCUUAGCGGACAAGCAGCGUCCUAUUUGUCCCAUGAUUCACAGAUUCACUUUUUUUUUUUUUAAUUCACAG